This 496-nucleotide ribosomal RNA is filed under the name uncultured bacterium. RNAcentral describes it as "bacterial SSU rRNA". It matches the Rfam family "Bacterial small subunit ribosomal RNA", at positions 903 to 1397 of the family's 1533-position model. The record is from RNAcentral.
AAAGGAAUUGACGGGGGCCCGCACAAGCGGUGGAGCAUGUGGUUUAAUUCGAUGCAACGCGAAGAACCUUACCAGGUCUUGACAUCUGGCGGACCUUUAGGAAACUAGAGGGUGCCUUUUAGGAGCGCCAAGACAGGUGGUGCAUGGUUGUCGUCAGCUCGUGUCGUGAGAUGUUGGGUUAAGUCCCGCAACGAGCGCAACCCUUGCUAUUAGUUGCUAACAGGUAGAGCUGAGCACUCUAAUGGGACUGCCCGUGACAAGCGGGAGGAAGGUGGGGAUGACGUCAAAUCAUCAUGCCCUUUAUGAUCUGGGCUACACACGUGCUACAAUGGGUGGUACAGAGAGCAGCGAAGUUGCGAAGCGGAGCGAAUCUCAAAAAGCCAUUCACAGUUCGGAUUGUAGUCUGCAACUCGACUACAUGAAGUCGGAAUCGCUAGUAAUCGCGGAUCAGCAUGUCGCGGUGAAUGCGUUCCCGGGCCUUGCACACACCGCCCGU